CAGUCGCCGCGGUAAUACGAAGGGUGCAAGCGUUAAUCGGAAUUACUGGGCGUAAAGCGCGCGUAGGUGGUUUGGUAAGAUGGAUGUGAAAUACCCGGGCUCAACCUGGGAACUGCAUCCAUAACUGCCUGACUAGAGUACGGUAGAGGGUGGUGGAAUUUCCUGUGUAGCGGUGAAAUGCGUAGAUAUAGGAAGGAACACCAGUGGCGAAGGCGACCACCUGGACUGAUACUGACACUGAGGUGCGAAAGCGUGGGGAGCAAACAGGAUUAGAUACCCCCGUAGUCCCUGUCUCUUAUAA
RNAcentral lists this ribosomal RNA (301 nucleotides) under uncultured bacterium. RNAcentral's name for it is "partial 16S ribosomal RNA". It matches the Rfam family "Bacterial small subunit ribosomal RNA", at positions 509 to 809 of the family's 1533-position model. The record is from RNAcentral.